AAUGAACGCUGGCGGCAGGCCUAACACAUGCAAGUCGAACGCACCUUUCGGGGUGAGUGGCGGACGGGUGAGUAACGCGUGGGAAUAUGCCCUUUGGUACGGAAUAGUCCUGGGAAACUGGGGGUAAUACCGUAUGUGCCCUUCGGGGGAAAGAUUUAUCGCCAAAGGAUUAGCCCGCGUUGGAUUAGGUAGUUGGUGGGGUAAUGGCCUACCAAGCCGACGAUCCAUAGCUGGUUUGAGAGGAUGAUCAGCCACACUGGGACUGAGACACGGCCCAGACUCCUACGGGAGGCAGCAGUGGGGAAUCUUAGACAAUGGGGGAAACCCUGAUCUAGCCAUGCCGCGUGAUCGAUGAAGGCCUUAGGGUUGUAAAGAUCUUUCAGAUGGGAAGAUAAUGACGGUACCAUCAGAAGAAGCCCCGGCUAACUCCGUGCCAGCAGCCGCGGUAAAGUCUGUACU
Molecule: ribosomal RNA, 459 nt
Filed under: uncultured bacterium
Lineage: Bacteria
Description: bacterial SSU rRNA
Rfam family: Bacterial small subunit ribosomal RNA
Source: RNAcentral